CCUACGGGAGGCAGCAGUGAGGAAUAUUGGUCAAUGGACGAGAGUCUGAACCAGCCAAGUAGCGUGAAGGAUGACUGCCCUAUGGGUUGUAAACUUCUUUUAUAAAGGAAUAAAACGAGGCACGUGUGCCUUUUUGCAUGUACUUUAUGAAUAAGGAGCGGCUAACUCCGUGCCAGCAGCCGCGGUAAUACGGAGGAUCCGAGCUUUAUCCGGAUUUAUUGGGUUUAAAGGGAGCGUAGAUGGGUUGUUAAGUCAGUUGUGAAAGUUUGCGGCUCAACCGUAAAAUUGCAAUUGAUACGGGCAGUCGUGAGUACAGUUGAGGGAGGCGGAAUUCGUGGUGUAGCGGUGAAAUGCUUAGAUAUCACGAAGAACCCCGAUUGCGAAGGCAGCUUACUAAACUGUGACUGACAUUGAUGCUCGAAAGUGUGGGUAUCAAACAGGAUUAGAUACCCGGGUAGUC
Molecule: ribosomal RNA, 460 nt
Filed under: uncultured bacterium
Lineage: Bacteria
Description: partial 16S ribosomal RNA
Rfam family: Bacterial small subunit ribosomal RNA
Source: RNAcentral